GACGAACGCUGGCGGCGUGCUUAACACAUGCAAGUCGAACGGAAAGGCCCUGCUUUUGUGGGGUGCUCGAGUGGCGAACGGGUGAGUAACACGUGAGUAACCUGCCCUUGACUUUGGGAUAACUUCAGGAAACUGGGGCUAAUACCGGAUAGGAGCUCCUGCUGCAUGGUGGGGGUUGGAAAGUUUCGGCGGUUGGGGAUGGACUCGCGGCUUAUCAGCUUGUUGGUGGGGUAGUGGCUUACCAAGGCUUUGACGGGUAGCCGGCCUGAGAGGGUGACCGGCCACAUUGGGACUGAGAUACGGCCCAGACUCAUACGGGAGGCAGCAGUGGGGAAUAUUGCACAAUGGGCGGAAGCCUGAUGCAGAAACGCAGCGUGCGGGAUGACGGCCUUCGGGUUGUAAACCGCUUUCGCCUGUGACGAAGCGUGAGUGACGGUAAUGGGUAAAGAAGCACCGGCUAACUACGUG
This 468-nucleotide ribosomal RNA is filed under the name uncultured bacterium. Its description in RNAcentral is "partial 16S ribosomal RNA". It matches the Rfam family "Bacterial small subunit ribosomal RNA", at positions 28 to 507 of the family's 1533-position model. The record is from RNAcentral.